Small nuclear RNA from Phacochoerus africanus (Common warthog), 103 nucleotides. The record is from RefSeq and is a predicted model, not a curated record. Lineage: Eukaryota; Metazoa; Chordata; Mammalia; Artiodactyla; Suidae.
GUUCACUUCAGUAGCACAUAUACUAAAACUGGAGCAAUAUAGAGAAUAUUAGCAUGGAUCUUGCACAAAAAUAACAUAAAUUUGUGAGGUGUUACAUAUUUAA